RNAcentral lists this ribosomal RNA (253 nucleotides) under uncultured bacterium. Its description in RNAcentral is "partial 16S ribosomal RNA". It matches the Rfam family "Bacterial small subunit ribosomal RNA", at positions 524 to 776 of the family's 1533-position model. The record is from RNAcentral.
AACGUAGGACGCAAGCGUUAUCCGGAGUUACUGGGCGUAAAGCGCUCGCAGGUGGUUCGAUGCGUCGUGCGUGAAAGCCCCCGGCUCAACUGGGGAGUGUCGUGCGAUACGGUCGAACUGGAGGCCAGUAGGGGGAUGCGGAAUUCCGGGUGUAGUGGUGGAAUGCGUAGAGAUCCGGAGGAACACCAGUGGCGAAGGCGGUUGCCUGGGGCUUUGCUGACGCUGAGGCGCGAAAGCGUGGGGAGCGAUCCGG